Molecule: small RNA, 272 nt
Filed under: Sinorhizobium meliloti 2011
Lineage: Bacteria; Pseudomonadati; Pseudomonadota; Alphaproteobacteria; Hyphomicrobiales; Rhizobiaceae
Description: putative ncRNA
Source: RNAcentral
GUGCAUCGUUCUCGAACCAGUAGGCAAUGAAGUCAUCGUAGGGGAGAUGGGGAGCAAUCUUUGCCAGGACCGGCUUCAGAUGAUCGACCGGCGCCGCCCGCCCAAGAACGAUCUCGUUCCAGUAAGGAGAGAAAAACUCUUGCUGAAGGGCCGCAACUGACAGCCCGAGAUCAUCCUCAAUGGUCGAUGCCCACGGCCUUCCGUCGGAAGGGCGGCCGCAAACCAAGACGCCUUCCACAUCGAUCAUCAACGCUCUGAUCAAGGACAUCUAC